GGAUUAGAUACCCUGGUAGUCCACGCCGUAAACGAUGUCGACUAGCCGUUGGGACCCUUGAGGUCUUAGUGGCGCAGCUAACGCGUUAAGUCGACCGCCUGGGGAGUACGGUCGCAAGAUUAAAACUCAAAUGAAUUGACGGGGGCCCGCACAAGCGGUGGAGCAUGUGGUUUAAUUCGAAGCAACGCGAAGGACCUUACCUGGUCUUGACAUCCAGAGAAUUCGGCAGAGAUGCCUUAGUGCCUUCGGGAACUCUGAGACAGGUGCUGCAUGGCUGUCGUCAGCUCGUGUCG
This 293-nucleotide ribosomal RNA is filed under the name uncultured bacterium. Its description in RNAcentral is "partial 16S ribosomal RNA". It matches the Rfam family "Bacterial small subunit ribosomal RNA", at positions 775 to 1067 of the family's 1533-position model. The record is from RNAcentral.